UACGGAGGGUGCGAGCGUUGUCCGGAAUCAUUGGGCGUAAAGGGCGCGUAGGUGGCCCGCUCAGCGUGCGGUGAAAGCUCGGGGCUCAACCCCGAGUCGGCCGUGCGAACUGGUGGGCUGGAGCACUGUAGAGGCAGGCGGAAUUCCGGGUGUAGCGGUGGAAUGCGUAGAGAUCCGGAAGAACACCGGUGGCGAAGGCGGCCUGCUGGGCAGUUGCUGACGCUGAGGAGCGAAAGCGUGGGGAGCGAACAGG
RNAcentral lists this ribosomal RNA (253 nucleotides) under uncultured bacterium. RNAcentral describes it as "partial 16S ribosomal RNA". It matches the Rfam family "Bacterial small subunit ribosomal RNA", at positions 524 to 776 of the family's 1533-position model. The record is from RNAcentral.